UCAAGUGGUGUACUCUAAAGA
RNAcentral lists this microRNA (21 nucleotides) under Oryza sativa (Asian cultivated rice). Its description in RNAcentral is "osa-miR5541". Lineage: Eukaryota; Viridiplantae; Streptophyta; Magnoliopsida; Poales; Poaceae. The record is from miRBase by way of RNAcentral.